This 489-nucleotide ribosomal RNA is filed under the name uncultured bacterium. Its description in RNAcentral is "partial 16S ribosomal RNA". It matches the Rfam family "Bacterial small subunit ribosomal RNA", at positions 28 to 507 of the family's 1533-position model. The record is from RNAcentral.
GAUGAACGCUAGCUACAGGCUUAACACAUGCAAGUCGAGGGGCAGCAUGAUUGAAGCUUGCUUCAAUCGAUGGCGACCGGCGCACGGGUGAGUAACACGUAUCCAACCUGCCGAUAACUCGGGGAUAGCCUUUCGAAAGAAAGAUUAAUACCCGAUAGUAUAGUAUUUCCGCAUGGUUUCACUAUUAAAGAACUUCGGUUAUCGAUGGGGAUGCGUUCCAUUAGAUAGUUGGCGGGGUAACGGCCCACCAAGUCAACGAUGGAUAGGGGUUCUGAGAGGAAGGUCCCCAACAUUGGAACUGAGACACGGUCCAAACUCCUACGGGAGGCAGCAGUGAGGAAUAGUGGUCAAUGGACGAGAGUCUGAACCAGCCAAGUAGCGUGAAGGAUGACUGCCCUAUGGGUUGUAAACUUCUUUUAUACGGGAAUAAAGUGGAGUAUGCAUACUCCUUUGUAUGUACCGUAUGAAUAAGGAUCGGCUAACUCCGUG